GAUGAACGCUGGCGGCGUGCCUAAUACAUGCAAGUCGAGCGAACAGAUGAGGAGCUUGCUCCUCUGACGUUAGCGGCGGACGGGUGAGUAACACGUGGAUAACCUGCCUAUAAGACUGGGAUAACUUCGGGAAACCGGAGCUAAUACCGGAUAAUAUAUUGAACCGCAUGGUUCAAUAGUGAAAGACGGUUUUGCUGUCACUUAUAGAUGGAUCCGCGCCGCAUUAGCUAGUUGGUAAGGUAACGGCUUACCAAGGCAACGAUGCGUAGCCGACCUGAGAGGGUGAUCGGCCAGACUGGAACUGAGACACGGUCGAGACUCCUACGGGAGGCAGCAGUAGGGAAUCUUCCGCAAUGGGCGAAAGCCUGACGGAGCAACGCCGCGUGAGUGAUGAAGGUCUUCGGAUCGUAAAACUCUGUUAGUAGGGAAGAACAAAUGUGUAAGUAACUAUGCACGUCUUGACGGUACCUAAUCAGAAAGCCACGGCUAACUACGUG
Molecule: ribosomal RNA, 497 nt
Filed under: uncultured bacterium
Lineage: Bacteria
Description: partial 16S ribosomal RNA
Rfam family: Bacterial small subunit ribosomal RNA
Source: RNAcentral